AUUGAACGCUGGCGGCAGGCCUAACACAUGUAAGUCGAGCGGGGUUUUCGGACCUAGCGGCGGACGGGUGAGUAAUGCGUAGGAAGCUGCCCGAUAGAGGGGGAUACCAGUUGGAAACGACUGUUAAUACCGCAUAAUGUCUACGGACCAAAGUGUGGGACCUUCGGGCCACAUGCUAUCGGAUGCGCCUACGUGGGAUU
This 200-nucleotide ribosomal RNA is filed under the name uncultured bacterium. RNAcentral describes it as "partial 16S ribosomal RNA". It matches the Rfam family "Bacterial small subunit ribosomal RNA", at positions 30 to 242 of the family's 1533-position model. The record is from RNAcentral.